RNAcentral lists this ribosomal RNA (253 nucleotides) under uncultured bacterium. RNAcentral describes it as "partial 16S ribosomal RNA". It matches the Rfam family "Bacterial small subunit ribosomal RNA", at positions 524 to 776 of the family's 1533-position model. The record is from RNAcentral.
UACGUAGGGUGCAAGCGUUGUCCGGAAUUAUUGGGCGUAAAGAGCUCGUAGGCGGUUUGUCGCGUCGUAUGUGAAAACCCGGGGCUCAACCCCGGGCCUGCAUUCGAUACGGGCAGACUAGAGUUCGGUAGGGGAGUCUGGAAUUCCUGGUGUAGCGGUGAAAUGCGCAGAUAUCAGGAGGAACACCAGCGGCGAAGGCGGCGCUCUGGGCCGGAACUGACGCUGAGGAGCGAAAGCGUGGGUAGCAAACAGG